This 827-nucleotide ribosomal RNA is filed under the name Stephanocircus dasyuri. RNAcentral's name for it is "SSU rRNA". It matches the Rfam family "Eukaryotic small subunit ribosomal RNA", at positions 961 to 1769 of the family's 1831-position model. The record is from RNAcentral. Lineage: Eukaryota; Metazoa; Arthropoda; Insecta; Siphonaptera; Stephanocircidae.
AAUGUGUUUUCAUCAAUCAAGAACGAAAGUUAGAGGUUCGAAGGCGAUCAGAUACCGCCCUAGUUCUAACCAUAAACGAUGCCAGCUAGCGAUCCGCCGAAGUUCCUCCGAUGACUCGGCGGGCAGCUUCCGGGAAACCAAAGCUUUUGGGUUCCGGGGGAAGUAUGGUUGCAAAGCUGAAACUUAAAGGAAUUGACGGAAGGGCACCACCAGGAGUGGAGCCUGCGGCUUAAUUUGACUCAACACGGGAAACCUCACCAGGCCCGGACACCGUAAGGAUUGACAGAUUGAGAGCUCUUUCUUGAUUCGGUGGGUGGUGGUGCAUGGCCGUUCAUAGUUGGUGGAGCGAUUUGUCUGGUUAAUUCCGAUAACGAACGAGACUCUAGCCUACUAAAUAGGCGUACUAUCCGGUAUCUCGAAGGCCACCCGGUCGGUUUCGGCCCGGUGUGGUUUUUACUACCGGCGUACACAUAUAUCUUCUUAGAGGGAUAUGCGGCAUUUAGUCGCAUGAGAUUGAGCAAUAACAGGUCAGUGAUGCCCUUAGAUGUUCUGGGCCGCACGCGCGCUACACUGAAGGGAUCAGCAGGUUUUCCUUGGCCGAAAGGUCCGGGUAAUCCGUUGAAACCCCUUCGUGCUAGGGAUUGGGGUUUGCAAUUCUUCCCCAUGAACGAGGAAUUCCCAGUAAGCGCGAGUCAUAAGCUUGCGUUGAUUACGUCCCUGCCCUUUGUACACACCGCCCGUCGCUACAACCGAUUGAAUGAUUUAGUGAGGUCUUCGGACCGGUGCGCGGCAUUGCCGAUGUUGCUGGGAAGAUGACCAAACUUGAU